GGUGACUUUUAAAUAAUGAAAAUAACUAAAUAUUACGUACAAUGCAACGGCAUUUUUAUGUUAAAUAGGCCUACUUAAAUAGGAAGCAGUAAGGCUUAUUCACGCUGUACAGUGCCAGAAACAGGUUGAGAUAACGAAAAGGGAAAAAAGGUGAGAAAAACGGGAGGAAACCGGGAGAGGGCAAUGAAAAACAGGAGUCUCCCGGGAAAAUCGGGAGGGUUGACAAUGGCAUGCAAUAUGUGCAUAUUUGCAUAUGCAGUGGUGUGAACAUAUAUGAAAAUUCAAAAUGUUUUUUUUAAUCUAUCUAAAUUCUAAUAACAUGUAGAAACAUAUUGAUCAGUUUUGAAAUAAAGUUUCUGUUUUCUGUUGGGAUUUCUGGUGUUAAGUGAUAAGGAAACAGGAAAUACACACCUACAAAUGAAAAACAGUUGGAAGGCCAAUGACUGCACUUAAUGACUCUUUAACUUCCCAUUUAUGUCCAUAAUAAAUAAGUCAUUCUGCCACACUUCAUCCUGGCAUCAAACAGAGGAAAUCUCUCUCUCUCUCGCUCUGUCUCUAGAAGAAAACUAUGUCAACUGCAAAUGAGAAGCCCCAAAACGCCUCAUGAACAAUAAACCAGUGGGUUAGUCAGAGAAAUGUGAACUCCUGUAGACUUAAAGCUGCCAGGUUGGGUAACAUCAGCCUGACCUAAGUAAAGCCUGCUGAGAAAUUAUUUAAGGAUUCCUUUUUCUUCCUGUGACAUUUAAAAUGUUUUGCUAUCUGACGUCUUACAAUGACGAAAAUCCCUUCAGUGUUUUGCAAUGGAUGUCAUCAGCAGUGGUACAUAGAAAUAGGUUUAUUUCAACCUUGUAAGCAGGGCACUGGAUCACUGGGAGCUGAAAACAUGGAAGCAGCAUUCAAGAGCGCCAGGAAACAUUUUAUGGUCCAAAGACUCCCUACUGUGACCCUUCAUGGACUCCACAAAGAAGAAGAAGAAGAAGAAGAAGCGCCUUUGAAAAUAAUUUCCUUUAGGGCCAAUAGAGCAAAUCUAAAGUGUAGUUGUACCAACUACUCUGGAUCGAUUGCCAUUAAAAUUGAUUCAUGUCCCUUAAAAGAUGAAUUGUAAUAGUUAGUUAUCAAUACACAGUGAGAUGUUCCAAAAACAUCUGCGUGUGUGUGUGUGUGUGUGUGUGUGUGUGUGUGUGCGUGUUCUGAAAUGCACUUCAAAUUAGCCUUUUUCUCUUGAUUUGUCACUUGCAUUGUUUUAUGUAUAUCUUGUGUUGAUAUUACGGGUAUCAGAAGUUUCAUCACGAUACAAUAUUAUAUCGAUGCUUUGAACGAUAUUUGAUGAUAUCACAAAGUUUAAUUCAAGGGCCUGCCGAUCAAUAUGAGACAAUAUCAUAUUACUGGGCUCUGUAGGAAGGAGGUGCACCUCGACGAAAUGGUGACACAGUCGUGCCAUGGGAAAUUUCAAAAUAAAGACGUGUCUUAAAGAUGAUGAUAUGUAUCAAUGUUUUCACUUUGCAUCAAUGAUUUUGGAUCGUUCCUCAUUGAAUCGAUAUAUCGAUCCAGAUCAAUGUAUCGUUACAUCCUUAGUUGAUAUGGUGCACAAAUUUUUAAUACAAGUCUAAUAUAUUUUUUAAUACAUAUCUCUUCUAUUGUUCUUUUACAUAACUAAGGACUAUAGAAGUGUAAAAAAUAGGCUACAUCAGAUAAUUCCAAGGUAUAUACACGAGGGGGUCCCCUAAGGGGUCCUUGGCUGACAAACAAUUGAAAACCUCUCUUCUAAAGUGAUGUCUUUGAAUAACUCAAAAAGUUUAAUGGCAUAUUAAUGCAGGAACAGCUGCCGAUUGUUAUGUAAAAUAACAAAGACCAACCUGUAUGAAUUAAAUGAUGUUAAAUGGUAAAUGGACUUGCAUUUAUAUAACGCUUUUUCUAGUCUUCAGACCACUCAAAACGCUUUACACUACAUGUCAGCAUUCACCCAUUCACAUACACAUUCAUACACUGAUGGCAGAGGCUGCCAUGCAAGGCACCAACCUGCCAAUCAGCGUUCAAAAUACAAAGAAGAAUCUGUGCCACAAACUUAUGUGGUCGCUUACACUUUAUACACAAAACAAUGAUAAAAAGGGAACAGUGAUGAUAUAGAAUAAUCCUGAACUAAACUGUUGCUAUGCCAGCAACCAACAAGUGUGAGACAUCUAAGAUUCAUAAAGAUCUCCCACAUUUUACUGCAUUAUUCACCAUCCGCCUACAUAGAGAUUAGUUCUGCUCUUUUAUGUAGGUCAUGCUAUUGGAUGAUGAGAUGACAUUUAGUUCUCAUAAGCAGGCCUCACUACAUAAUAAAUGUUCAGCAUUGGGUGCUUUACAUCCUGUACCUUUGUUCAGACUGCUCUCGCCUUUACAUCUGUGAAAAACGGGAUUAUUUAGAUAAUCACUCAGACACUAAGCCAUGUUGCCUCCAGCUACAUCUGUGAUACUGGUAUUGCUGAUGUCAUCGUGGCCCUCUGCUGAAGCACUGACUGUCAUUAAUUAGACUGUGGCACUGCUGUUCGCUCUGUGUUCCCAUGGUAACAAUGUGUGGUGUCUACUUUUCCCCAACCAAGGCAGCUAUGUCCAUCAAGCCACUGGUUUCCAUUUUCUUUAGGUCCAGGAGAUUUUUCAUGCACUCCUCAGUAGCCCAUUUGUUAGUCUGAUUAAUAUUAAUAAAGUGGCAGGCAACCUU
This is a long non-coding RNA of Sebastes umbrosus (honeycomb rockfish), 2704 nucleotides long. RefSeq lists it as uncharacterized. The transcript is spliced from 2 exons. NCBI's taxonomy places the organism in Eukaryota, Metazoa, Chordata, Actinopteri, Perciformes, Sebastidae. The record is from RefSeq and is a predicted model, not a curated record.